UACGUAGGUGGCAAGCGUUGUCCGGAUUUACUGGGCGUAAAGAGCGCGCAGGCGGUCGUCCAAGUCGCGUGUGAAAGCCCCCGGCUCAACUGGGGAGGGUCACGCGAUACUGAUCGACUCGAAGGCAGGAGAGGGAAGUGGAAUUCCCGGUGUAGUGGUGAAAUGCGUAGAUAUCGGGAGGAACACCAGUGGCGAAGGCGACUUCCUGGCCUGUUCUUGACGCUGAGGCGCGAAAGCUAGGGGAGUAAACGGG
This 253-nucleotide ribosomal RNA is filed under the name uncultured bacterium. RNAcentral's name for it is "partial 16S ribosomal RNA". It matches the Rfam family "Bacterial small subunit ribosomal RNA", at positions 524 to 776 of the family's 1533-position model. The record is from RNAcentral.